Molecule: ribosomal RNA, 526 nt
Filed under: uncultured bacterium
Lineage: Bacteria
Description: partial 16S ribosomal RNA
Rfam family: Bacterial small subunit ribosomal RNA
Source: RNAcentral
UGGGGAAUAUUGGACAAUGGGGGCAACCCUGAUCCAGCAAUGCCGCGUGUGUGAAGAAGGUCUUCGGAUUGUAAAGCACUUUCGACGGGGACGAUGAUGACGGUACCCGUAGAAGAAGCCCCGGCUAACUUCGUGCCAGCAGCCGCGGUAAUACGAAGGGGGCUAGCGUUGCUCGGAAUGACUGGGCGUAAAGGGCGUGUAGGCGGUUUACACAGUCAGAUGUGAAAUCCCCGGGCUUAACCUGGGAGCUGCAUUUGAUACGUGUAGACUAGAGUGUGAGAGAGGGUUGUGGAAUUCCCAGUGUAGAGGUGAAAUUCGUAGAUAUUGGGAAGAACACCGGUGGCGAAGGCGGCAACCUGGCUCAUGACUGACGCUGAGGCGCGAAAGCGUGGGGAGCAAACAGGAUUAGAUACCCUGGUAGUCCACGCCUGUAAACGAUGUGUGCUAGAUGUUGGGUAACUUUGUUAUUCAGUGUCGCAGUUAACGCGUUAAGCACACCGCCUGGGGAGUACGGGCCGCAAGGUUG